GCUGCUGUGGAUCAUGGCUGAUCAUCUUCUUCCGAUAGUGCAAUCAAUUACAAGUCAUGAGGAAUCUGUGGGUUCAAAUCCCACCGGCAGCA
Non-coding RNA from Mycena albidolilacea, 92 nucleotides. The record is from the annotation of a GenBank genome assembly. NCBI's taxonomy places the organism in Eukaryota, Fungi, Basidiomycota, Agaricomycetes, Agaricales, Mycenaceae.